Molecule: long non-coding RNA, 257 nt
Organism: Mus musculus (house mouse)
Lineage: Eukaryota; Metazoa; Chordata; Mammalia; Rodentia; Muridae
Product: predicted gene, 40357
Exons: 3
Source: RefSeq, a predicted model, not a curated record
GGGAUCAAAUCCUGGUCAUCAGGCUUGGUGGCGAGUGUCUUUACUUGCUAAACAAGCUCACUGGCUCCAAGCCACAGCUUUAUAACCAGGCAGUGGUGUUGCAUGCAGAGGUGACAGACAGUCCAGCUUCCUGCUCCUGCAACCACACCUUGCUGGCCACAAGUGACUGGAGCCCUCAGUACUGAGAUGGUUGCGGCAGCGGCUCGGGACUUCUAAAGUCUGUAAUACUUCCUGUUCGGCCUUGGACUCACUGACGU